Eutrema salsugineum is the source of this 511-nucleotide RNA transcript. RefSeq lists it as uncharacterized. The transcript has 2 exons. The record is from RefSeq and is a predicted model, not a curated record. Lineage: Eukaryota; Viridiplantae; Streptophyta; Magnoliopsida; Brassicales; Brassicaceae.
UAGAGCAAAGAGAAUGCGUCGAUCGGCGAGCGCCUCCAUAGUUUCCGACCAAUUAUCAGCCAACACUCCGUCUCCAUCACCGUCUCCGCCGCGAAUUCACAGCGUCACAUCUUCGGAAGAUGCCCUUCUUCUUCUGCCUCGCUACGACCCUAACUCUUACCCCGGAAAAAAGGACAAAUCGCGACUCAGAUCCGCCGAGAACGCUAUCCAUUUCAUUCCUCUCGUUCUCAUUCUCUGCGCCGUUAUACUUUGGAUGUUUUCGAAUCCAGGUAAAAUUGUUUCCUCUGAGAUCUCCUCUGUUUCGCUGAUUGUUGUCUGUUUAUUUGUGAUGGUCCUCGAAUCCGAUUGAUUGAGAAUGAUUUCUAUCUUGUUGUGAUAAGACUUGUGUUUAUCAAUGAGCAAACAGUGACGAUUGGCUUACAUGGUGGAAACUGGAAAGACAGAGUUUGAUGACUUGAACGGACGAUUAUUAGAGAUUAUUUAAUAAAAGGAUCUGUUUUUACAUACAUUU